CGUAGGUGGCAAGCGUUGUCCGGAAUUAUUGGGCGUAAAGAGCAUGUAGGUGGAUUAUUAAGUCUGACGUGAAAAUGCGGGGCUCAACCCCGUAUGGCGUUGGAUACUGGUAAUCUUGAGUGCAGGAGAGGAAAGGGGAAUUCCCAGUGUAGCGGUGAAAUGCGUAGAUAUUGGGAGGAACACCAGUGGCGAAGGCGCCUUUCUGGACUGUGUCUGACACUGAGAUGCGAAAGCUAGGGUAGCAAACGGGAUUAGAUACCCCGGUAGUCCUAGCCGUAAACGAUGGGUACUAGGUGUAGGAGGUAUCGACCCCCCCUGUGCCGGAGUUAACGCAAUAAGUACCCCGCCUGGGGAGUACGGUCGCAAGGCUAAAACUCAAAAGAAUUGACGGGGGCCCGCACAAGCGGUGGAGUAUGUGGUUUAAUUCGACGCAACGCGUAGAACCUUACCGAGGCUUGACAUUGAGUGAAAAUCCUAGAGAUAGGACUUCUCUUUCGAGAGCACGAAAACAGGUGGUGCAUGGUUGUCGUCAGCUCGUGUCGUGAGAUGUUGGGUUAAGUCCCGCAACGAGCGCAACCCCUAUCCUAUGUUACCAGCAAGUUAAGUUGGGGACUCAUGGGAGACUGCCAGGGACAACCUGGAGGAAGGCGGGGAUGACGUCAAAUCAUCAUGCCCCUUAUGCCUCGGGCUACACACGUACUACAAUGGUCGGCAACAGAGGGCAGCGAAACCGCGAGGUGGAGCAAAUCCCAGAAACCCGACCCCAGUUCGGAUUGCAGGCUGCAACUCGCCUGCAUGAAGUUGGAAUCGCUAGUAAUCGCAGGUCAGCAUACUGCGGUGAAUACGUUCCCGGGCCUUGCACACACCGCCCGUC
Molecule: ribosomal RNA, 874 nt
Filed under: uncultured bacterium O16B1
Lineage: Bacteria; Bacillati; Bacillota; Negativicutes; Acidaminococcales; Acidaminococcaceae
Description: bacterial SSU rRNA
Rfam family: Bacterial small subunit ribosomal RNA
Source: RNAcentral